CUAAGUUUGAUGGCGACCGGCGCACGGGUGAGUAACACGUAUCCAACCUGCCGAUGACUCGGGGAUAGCCUUUCGAAAGAAAGAUUAAUACCCGAUGGCAUAGUUCUUCCGCAUGGUAGAACUAUUAAAGAAUUUCGGUCAUCGAUGGGGAUGCGUUCCAUUAGGUUGUUGGCGGGGUAACGGCCCACCAAGCCUUCGAUGGAUAGGGGUUCUGAGAGGAAGGCCCCCCACAUUGGAACUGAGACACGGUCCAAACUCCUACGGGAGGCAGCAUG
RNAcentral lists this ribosomal RNA (275 nucleotides) under uncultured bacterium. RNAcentral describes it as "partial 16S ribosomal RNA". It matches the Rfam family "Bacterial small subunit ribosomal RNA", at positions 79 to 353 of the family's 1533-position model. The record is from RNAcentral.